GACGGUUUGGCUGAGUGGUCUCAGAGCGCCAGAUUUAGGCUAUGGUCCUGAAAGGGCGUGGGUUCAAAUCCCACAGCGUCA
This is a transfer RNA of Ipomoea nil (Japanese morning glory), 81 nucleotides long. It matches the Rfam family "tRNA". From Rfam's summary of the family: Transfer RNA (tRNA) molecules are approximately 80 nucleotides in length. Their secondary structure includes four short double-helical elements and three loops (D, anti-codon, and T loops). The record is from Rfam. Lineage: Eukaryota; Viridiplantae; Streptophyta; Magnoliopsida; Solanales; Convolvulaceae.